This 1445-nucleotide ribosomal RNA is filed under the name uncultured organism. RNAcentral's name for it is "SSU rRNA". It matches the Rfam family "Bacterial small subunit ribosomal RNA". The record is from RNAcentral.
AACGCUAGCUACAGGCUUAACACAUGCAAGUCGAGGGGCAGCAUGGUCUUAGCUUGCUAAGGCCGAUGGCGACCGGCGCACGGGUGAGUAACACGUAUCCAACCUGCCGUCUACUCUUGGACAGCCUUCUGAAAGGAAGAUUAAUACAAGAUGGCAUCAUGAGUCCACAUGUUCACAUGAUUAAAGGUAUUCCGGUAGACGAUGGGGAUGCGUUCCAUUAGAUAGUAGGCGGGGUAACGGCCCACCUAGUCUUCGAUGGAUAGGGGUUCUGAGAGGAAGGUCCCCCACAUUGGAACUGAGACACGGUCCAAACUCCUACGGGAGGCAGCAGUGAGGAAUAUUGGUCAAUGGGCGAGAGCCUGAACCAGCCAAGUAGCGUGAAGGAUGACUGCCCUAUGGGUUGUAAACUUCUUUUAUAAAGGAAUAAAGUCGGGUAUGGAUACCCGUUUGCAUGUACUUUAUGAAUAAGGAUCGGCUAACUCCGUGCCAGCAGCCGCGGUAAUACGGAGGAUCCGAGCGUUAUCCGGAUUUAUUGGGUUUAAAGGGAGCGUAGAUGGAUGUUUAAGUCAGUUGUGAAAGUUUGCGGCUCAACCGUAAAAUUGCAGUUGAUACUGGAUAUCUUGAGUGCAGUUGAGGCAGGCGGAAUUCGUGGUGUAGCGGUGAAAUGCUUAGAUAUCACGAAGAACUCCGAUUGCGAAGGCAGCCUGCUAAGCUGCAACUGACAUUGAGGCUCGAAAGUGUGGGUAUCAAACAGGAUUAGAUACCCUGGUAGUCCACACGGUAAACGAUGAAUACUCGCUGUUUGCGAUAUACAGCAAGCGGCCAAGCGAAAGCGUUAAGUAUUCCACCUGGGGAGUACGCCGGCAACGGUGAAACUCAAAGGAAUUGACGGGGGCCCGCACAAGCGGAGGAACAUGUGGUUUAAUUCGAUGAUACGCGAGGAACCUUACCCGGGCUUAAAUUGCAGAUGAAUUACGGUGAAAGCCGUAAGCCGCAAGGCAUCUGUGAAGGUGCUGCAUGGUUGUCGUCAGCUCGUGCCGUGAGGUGUCGGCUUAAGUGCCAUAACGAGCGCAACCCUUGUUGUCAGUUACUAACAGGUUCCGCUGAGGACUCUGACAAGACUGCCAUCGUAAGAUGUGAGGAAGGUGGGGAUGACGUCAAAUCAGCACGGCCCUUACGUCCGGGGCUACACACGUGUUACAAUGGGGGGUACAGAGGGCCGCUACCACGCGAGUGGAUGCCAAUCCCAAAAACCUCUCUCAGUUCGGACUGGAGUCUGCAACCCGACUCCACGAAGCUGGAUUCGCUAGUAAUCGCGCAUCAGCCACGGCGCGGUGAAUACGUUCCCGGGCCUUGUACACACCGCCCGUCAAGCCAUGGGAGCCGGGGGUACCUGAAGUGCGUAACCGCGAGGAGCGCCCUAGGGUAAAACUGGUGACUGGGGC